ACUAUUUUGGCAGAAAAAAUGUGAUGAUUUUAGAAGUCAUUAAUGUAUAAUUAUAUUAUAUAAGUAGUA
Molecule: transfer RNA, 69 nt
Filed under: Andraca melli
Lineage: Eukaryota; Metazoa; Arthropoda; Insecta; Lepidoptera; Endromidae
Description: tRNA-Leu
Source: RNAcentral